Molecule: ribosomal RNA, 52 nt
Filed under: Rhagoletis completa
Lineage: Eukaryota; Metazoa; Arthropoda; Insecta; Diptera; Tephritidae
Description: partial 5.8S ribosomal RNA
Source: RNAcentral
CCCUCUAGCGGGGGGAUCACUCGCUCAUGGGUCGAUGAAAAACCCACCAACU